Molecule: ribosomal RNA, 49 nt
Filed under: Laurus azorica
Lineage: Eukaryota; Viridiplantae; Streptophyta; Magnoliopsida; Laurales; Lauraceae
Description: 26S ribosomal RNA
Source: RNAcentral
UCACAGAAUCCAAAAUUCAGAGCAAGUUGGAAGCAUUAAUGACUGUGAA